ACAUUCAAGAAUCAAUAUUUUGUUUCUCCUAUAUAUUUAUACACACUGUAUAUAUAGGAGAAACAAAAUAUUGAUUCUUGAAUG
This 84-nucleotide microRNA precursor is filed under the name Paramuricea clavata. Lineage: Eukaryota; Metazoa; Cnidaria; Anthozoa; Malacalcyonacea; Plexauridae. The record is from RNAcentral.